CCUACGUGAGGCAGCAGUGAGGAAUAUUGGUCAAUGGGCGAGAGCCUGAACCAGCCAAGUCGCGUGAGGGAGUACUGCCCUAUGGGUUGUAAACCUCUUUUGUCGGGGAGCAAAAGCCGGACGUGUCCGGCUGUGAGAGUACCCGAAGAAAAAGCAUCGGCUUACUCCGUGCCAGCAGCCGCGGUAAUACGGAGGAUGCGAGCGGUAUCCGGAUUUUUUGGGUUUAAAGGGUGCGCAGGCGAAUUUUUAAGUUAGCGGUCAAAUCGUGGGGCACAACCCCAUCCAGCCAGUGAAACUGGGGAUCUAGAGUGUGCGAGGGGUAUGCGGGGUGCGUGGUGUAGCGGUGAAGUGCAUAG
Molecule: ribosomal RNA, 356 nt
Filed under: uncultured bacterium
Lineage: Bacteria
Description: partial 16S ribosomal RNA
Rfam family: Bacterial small subunit ribosomal RNA
Source: RNAcentral